AGCGAACGUUUGCGGCGGGCUUAACACAUGCAAGUCGAACGCGAAAGCCGCAAGGCGAGUAAAGUGGCGGACGGGCGAGUAACACGUAAUCAAGCUACCUGCGAGACGGGGAUAACUUCGGGAAACCGAAGCUAAGACCCGAUGGUCUUCUAGGAACGCAUGUUCCAUGAAGUAAAUGGGCGGGAUCCUCCGGGAUCGCCUGCUCGCAGAGGUGAUUGCGGCCCAUCAGCUAGUUGGUAGGGUAAUGGCCUACCAAGGCAACGACGGGUAGCCGGCCUUAGAGGGUGGUCGGCCGCACUGGGACUGAGACACUGCCCAGACUCCUACGGGAGGCUGCAGUCGAGAAUCUUCCGCAAUGGGCGAAAGCCUGACGGAGCGACGCCGCGUGGAGGAUGAAGGCC
RNAcentral lists this ribosomal RNA (401 nucleotides) under uncultured bacterium. Its description in RNAcentral is "bacterial SSU rRNA". It matches the Rfam family "Bacterial small subunit ribosomal RNA", at positions 29 to 416 of the family's 1533-position model. The record is from RNAcentral.